CCAAGUGAUGUGUUGUGGUGGCACCCCGGCAGGCCAUGUCGGAGGCGUGGGUUCGAUUCCCACCACUUGGUCCA
Molecule: transfer RNA, 74 nt
Filed under: Bacteroidota bacterium
Lineage: Bacteria; Pseudomonadati; Bacteroidota
Also listed under: 1 other name
Description: Bacteroidetes bacterium (activated sludge metagenome) tRNA-Gly
Rfam family: tRNA
About the family: Transfer RNA (tRNA) molecules are approximately 80 nucleotides in length. Their secondary structure includes four short double-helical elements and three loops (D, anti-codon, and T loops).
Source: RNAcentral